This 273-nucleotide ribosomal RNA is filed under the name uncultured bacterium. RNAcentral describes it as "partial 16S ribosomal RNA". It matches the Rfam family "Bacterial small subunit ribosomal RNA", at positions 524 to 796 of the family's 1533-position model. The record is from RNAcentral.
UACGGAUGGUUCAAGCUUUACUCGGAAUCACUGGGCGUAAAGGAUGCGUAGGCUGGAAAUCAAGUCGAGAGUGAAAUCCAACGGCUCAACCGUUGAACUGCUCUCGAAACUGGUUACCUAGAAUAUGGGAGAGGUAGAUGGAAUUAGUGGUGGAGGGGUAAAAUCCGUAGAUAUCACUAGGAAUACCGAUUGCGAAGGCGAUCUACUGGAACAUUAUUGACGCUGAGGCAUGACAGCGGGGGGAGAAAACAGGAUUAGAUAACACCGUAGUCC